AAUCUUAUUCAGACACAGACUUUGGCCAGGUCCCUGUAGAAGUCAUAGGAGAGUUGGGGUUUCAAGACAAAACAAUAAGAACAACAACAAAAAUAAUAAAACCAACAAUCUUCAGUCCUUUUUGCUUAGUGGGGGUGGAAAGGCCACUGUAGAGAACUUCUUUAAUCCAAGGACACCCACACCAAUAAAAGCAGACGGCAAGGGAACCAGGACAAGCAUGGCUGUGAAGGGACUAGAAACAGAUCUGGCAGGUGGAUAUGCAAUCAUUCCUAUGUGAUGAAGCUCCAGUAAAAUCUCUGGACACCAGCACAGGAUGGGAUGUCCUUUUGCAGAGGAAGCCCAGGUUGGACUUGAACUUCUGGGCUCAAGUUGCCCAUGCUGGACUUGAACUCCUGGGCUCAAGUGGUCCUCUGGCCUCAGCCUCCCAUGUAGCUGAGUCUACUGAUGUAUACCAUCACACCUGGCUUUUUCUUUUCAUUGGAAAAUUUAGUCCAUUUACAUUUAAAGUAAUUGUAAUAGUACCCCUUCUAUUACGAGGGAGGAAAAUAAAACUCAGAUUUCAGGAAUCAAUCAAGGUCAUGUAGCAACCUGGUGGUCAGCCAGAGCUAGAAAUUAUCAAAUAUGAUGAUCCAGCCGGUGUGGUGUAUUCUGAUAUGAGGAGAAUUUCUCUUUUGGUCUUGGACAUAUUCCUUAGACUGACAUGUCACUGGGCCAAUAUUUGAGAUAUGAGACCUGAAACUGGGGCAGCCAUUGCGAGACCCUGAUGACAGCCAGCCCAAUGGCAAUGCAGACACACACAGCAUGGUGGCAUGAGAUCAUGUCCUAAGAAAUGAGAGAAUUUGAUGUCAUCGUGUGCUGCAGUCAGCCAGCCUUGGAACUCACCAUACCUCUGGACUGCUUGAUAGGGUUCCAGUUCACCUUCCAAUCACCAUUAGACGAAGUUACUCAUUUUUCCAAAAGCAGAGAACAAGAUUGCAGAAGACAACUUGACGUUCCAUUUUAGGAACCAAUAACCCUCAUAUUUGGAAAUUUCAUUACUACACUUUCAGAGGUAUGUUUUACAUUCAGAGUCGGAAACCCCAACAUGCUAUGCAGUUUGAACUUAGCAGGUUCUUCUCAAGCUUGUCUUGCAUGUUCUAAGCUUAGAAAAAUAUUUUACUUUUACUGUUUCCCAAAUUAUAUUGACUGGGAAAAGUUAC
This 1199-nucleotide long non-coding RNA is filed under the name Homo sapiens (human). RNAcentral's name for it is "HSALNT0251316". Lineage: Eukaryota; Metazoa; Chordata; Mammalia; Primates; Hominidae. The record is from RNAcentral.